GCCCAGAGCUGUAAGCCAGCUUGGCAGCUGGCAGUUUUUGCCUGUGUGAAGAAUAGGCAUUUCUUGUGUUUCCUGCAAGAGAACCUUUGCAGAACUUCUUUUGCUUGGAAAAUGGAUGCCUGGCUCGGAGUAAAGGGCAUGCAGUGCACAGUCC
Molecule: long non-coding RNA, 154 nt
Filed under: Calidris pugnax (ruff)
Lineage: Eukaryota; Metazoa; Chordata; Aves; Charadriiformes; Scolopacidae
Description: lncRNA (ENSCPUG00000002366.1)
Source: RNAcentral